Long non-coding RNA from Oncorhynchus tshawytscha (Chinook salmon), 1816 nucleotides. NCBI's taxonomy places the organism in Eukaryota, Metazoa, Chordata, Actinopteri, Salmoniformes, Salmonidae. The record is from Ensembl.
AUGGGUCUUACUGCGGUACUAGUGGGUCUAUGGGUCUUACUGCAGUACUAGUGGGUCUAUGGGUCUUACUGCAGUACUAGUGGGUCUAUGGGUCUUACCUUCAGUACUAGUGGGUCUAUGGGUCUUACUGCAGUACUAGUGGGUCUAUGGGUCUUACUGCAGUACUAGUGUGGUUCUACAAUCCAUUGAUCUCAUCCUGAGAUGUUUCAUGAUGAUCUCAGACUGAGGUGAUAUUUCUAAUAAUACUGGGUUGGACAUAGUCACCGCAGAGCGGAGGGCACAACUUGGCUUGUUCAACCGGUUAAUUAAUGUGUGAUAACAGAUAUGUGUGAGAUAUCAGACACUCCUGUGGUUGUGUGUGAUUACUUCAUAGUCUGUGGACUCUAGUGGUUAGUCAGGACUUAGAUACUAACUGACAUGGAACAGAGUCCAUUCCCUGACUACAGUGAAAUAGGCCUACCGCCUACUCCGGAGAUAUGCAUUGGCUUGGGACAGUGAUCCCCAGGAAUCUAUUUAAUUAAUGCACACAGCUUUUUCACUAAUAAAAUGUUGAAAAGACUACAUCACUAUUUAUUGUUACCAAUAUGACCAUUAGAAUAACAAAUUCAAACUGCUGUUUCAUCAUGAUAUCUUGUUGCUGUUAAUCUGCAUUAUAAGGCUGCGUUGAGACAAUGACUUAUUAAAGACCCAAGCCCAGCUCAGUUAAUCCCUACCAUUGUGACGCUGAGUUGUCAUAAUGCUUCAGGCAAAUGUACAUUACACCAGGGGUGUUGGUAGACACAAUGUACGUCACCAAAUAUAUGUCCCUCUAACUGCCUGAAAGCCUCUGUUGAUCCUACAGCUAUUGCCUGCAGUAAUCAUGUGCCUAUGAACCAGAGUUACACUAUUAGCACUAAGGAGGUGUGUCCUAGUAGGAAGACCACUGUUAACACUGAGGAGGUGUGUCCUAGUAGGAAGACCACUGUUAACACUGAGGAGGUGUGUCCUAGUAGGAAGACCACUGUUAACACUGAGGUGGUGUGUCCUCGUAGGAAGACCACUGUUAACACUGAGGAGAUGUGUCCUAGUAGGAAGACCACUGUUAGCACUAAGGAGGUGUGUCCUAGUAGGAAGACCACUGUUAACACUGAGGAGAUGUGUCCUAGUAGGAAGACCACUGAGGUGGUGUGUCCCAGUAGGAAGACCACUGUUAACACUGAGGAGGUGUGUCCUAGUAGGAAGACCACUGAGGUGGUGUGUCCCAGUAGGAAGACCACUGUUAACACUGAGGAGGUGUGUCCUAGUAGGAAGACCACUGUUAACACUGAGGAGGUGUGUCCUAGUAGGAAGACCACUGAGGUGGUGUGUCCCAGUAGGAAGACCACUGUUAACACUGAGGAGGUGUGUCCUAGUAGGAAGACCACUGAGGAGGUGUGUCCUAGUAGGAAGACCACUGAGGUGGUGUGUCCUAGUAGGAAGACCACUGAGGUGGUGUGUCCUAGUAGGAAGACCACUGAGGUGGUGUGUCCUAGUAGGAAGACCACUGUUAACACUGAGGUGGUGUGUCCUAGUAGGAAGACCACUGUUAACACUGAGGAGGUGUGUCCUAGUAGGAAGACCACUGAGGUGGUGUGUCCUAUAGGAAGACCACUUAACACUGAGGAGGUGUGUCCUAGUAGGAAGACCACUGAGGAGGUGUGUCCUAGUAGGAAGACCACUGUUAACACUGAGGAGGUGUGUCCUAGUAGGAAGACCACUGAGGUGGUGUGUCCUAUAGGAAGACCACUGUGUGCAUCUCACCCUGCAUUAAUAAAAAAAAAACACAUGAGUAUGUCUG